AUGUUCCUUGCUAACUUGACGUACUUGAAUACCUUGAACCUAUCAUUCAAUAGGCUAGAAGGACAAAUACCCGAGGGAGGUGUUUUCUCAAACCUCACAUUGAAAUCUUUGGUUGGGAACCCUGGACUAUGCGGCGCUCCGCGGCUAAGAUUUCCACCAUGCCUUGAUAGAAAUCGUUCAAGUAAAAGCCACUUGCUUCCAUUUCUACUGCCAACCCUCAUAUUAGCUUUUGGCGCCAUUGCCAUUUACGUAUACCUAUGGUUCAGAAAGAAACUUAAGAAGGGAAAGGACAAUGUUUCUGUUGAUCCAACUGAUGCCAUAGGCCAUCAGAUAGUCUCCUAUCAUGAGCUUGUUCGUGUCACCAAUAAUUUCCAUGAUGAAAACAUCUUGGGAUCCGAAAGCUUUGGAAAAGUCUUUAAGGGCCAACUGAGCAGUGGUUUGGUGGUUGCGAUAAAAGUUCUUGACAUGCAACUAGAGCAGGCCAUCCAAAGCUUUGAUGCGGAGUGUCGAGUGCUUCGUAUGGCACGACACCGCAACCUGAUAAGGAUACUUAACACAUGUUCCAACCUUGACUUCAGAGCCCUGGUGCUUCAAUACAUGCCAAAUGGUAGCUUAGAGAUGCUCCUUCAUGGAUCACAAAGCACAACAACGCGCUUGGGAUUCAUUGAGAGGCUGGGCAUCAUGCUUGAUGUUUCGAUGGCAAUGUCUUAUCUACACCAUGAGCACUAUGAGCUGAUCUUGCAUCGUGACUUGAAGCCUAGCAAUGUGUUGUUUGACGAGGACAUGACGGCGCAUGUGGCAGACUUUGGCAUUGCAAAGUUGGUUCUAGAUGACAACUCCAUGAUAAGUGCGAGCAUGCCUAGAACAAUUGGGUACAUGGCACCAGAGUAUGGGUCACUUGGAAAAGCAUCGCGGAAGAGCGACGUCUUCAGCUAUGGGAUCAUGCUCCUUGAACUCUUCACUGGAAAGCGACCCACUGCCACUAUGUUUGGCGCACAAUUAACGCUCAGGCGGUGGGUUCAUGAGGCAUAUCCUGCAGAGCUUGUCAAGGUCGUCGAUGGACAGCUAUUACAUGGCUCCUCUCUUUCUAGCUGCAUCUUGGACGAUGGCUUUCUUGCUUCAAUAUUUGAGUUGGGUUUGAUUUGUUCUAGCGACUCUCCAGACCAGCGAAUGACGAUGCACGAUGUGGUCGUGACGCUGAAGAAGGUCAAAGCUGAGUACACUAAACAGACAACAAAAACAUGA
This 1245-nucleotide ribosomal RNA is filed under the name Triticum aestivum (bread wheat). Its description in RNAcentral is "partial small subunit ribosomal RNA". Lineage: Eukaryota; Viridiplantae; Streptophyta; Magnoliopsida; Poales; Poaceae. The record is from RNAcentral.